CUAUCGACAGGCUUAACACAUGCAAGUCGAGGGGCAGCACAGGUAGCAAUACCGGGUGGCGACCGGCGCACGGGUGAGUAACGCGUAUGCAACUUGCCUAUCAGAGGGGGAUAACCCGGCGAAAGUCGGACUAAUACCGCAUGAAGCAGGGGUCCCGCAUGGGAAUAUUUGCUAAAGAUUCAUCGCUGAUAGAUAGGCAUGCGUUCCAUUAGGCAGUUGGCGGGGUAACGGCCCACCAAACCGACGAUGGAUAGGGGUUCUGAGAGGAAGGUCCCCCACAUUGGUACUGAGACACGGACCAAACUCCUACGGGAGGCAGCAGUGAGGAAUAUUGGUCAAUGGCCGAGAGGCUGAACCAGCCAAGUCGCGUGAGGGAUGAAGGUUCUAUGGAUCGUAAACCUCUUUUAUAAGGGAAUAAAGUGCGGGACGUGUCCCGUUUUGUAUGUACCUUAUGAAUAAGGAUCGGCUAACUCCGUGCCAGCAGCCGCGGUAAUACGGAGGAUCCGAGCGUUAUCCGGAUUUAUUGGGUUUAAAGGGUGCGUAGGCGGCCUUUUAAGUCAGCGGUGAAAGUCUGUGGCUCAACCAUAGAAUUGCCGUUGAAACUGGGGGGCUUGAGUAUGUUUGAGGCAGGCGGAAUGCGUGGUGUAGCGGUGAAAUGCUUAGAUAUCACGCAGAACCCCGAUUGCGAAGGCAGCCUGCCAAGCCAUUACUGACGCUGAUGCACGAAAGCGUGGGGAUCAAACAGGAUUAGAUACCCUGGUAGUCCACGCAGUAAACGAUGAUCACUAGCUGUUUGCGAUACAUUGUAAGCGGCACAGCGAAAGCGUUAAGUGAUCCACCUGGGGAGUACGCCGGCAACGGUGAAACUCAAAGGAAUUGACGGGGGCCCGCACAAGCGGAGGAACAUGUGGUUUAAUUCGAUGAUACGCGAGGAACCUUACCCGGGUUUGAACGCAUUCGGACCGAGGUGGAAACACCCUUUCUAGCAAUAGCCGUUUGCGAGGUGCUGCAUGGUUGUCGUCAGCUCGUGCCGUGAGGUGUCGGCUUAAGUGCCAUAACGAGCGCAACCCUUGCCACUAGUUACUAACAGGUGAUGCUGAGGACUCUGGUGGGACUGCCAGCGUAAGCUGCGAGGAAGGCGGGGAUGACGUCAAAUCAGCACGGCCCUUACAUCCGGGGCGACACACGUGUUACAAUGGCGUGGACAAAGGGAGGCCACCUGGCGACAGGGAGCGAAUCCCCAAACCACGUCUCAGUUCGGAUCGGAGUCUGCAACCCGACUCCGUGAAGCUGGAUUCGCUAGUAAUCGCGCAUCAGCCAUGGCGCGGUGAAUACGUUCCCGGGCCUUGUACACACCGCCCGUCAAGCCAUGGGAGCCGGGGGUACCUGAAGUCCGUAACCGCGAGGAUCGGCCUAGGGUAAAACUGGUGACUGGGGCU
RNAcentral lists this ribosomal RNA (1439 nucleotides) under uncultured organism. RNAcentral describes it as "SSU rRNA". It matches the Rfam family "Bacterial small subunit ribosomal RNA". The record is from RNAcentral.